CUGGUUCGCAAAUGCUACCCGAAUCCAAAGCCUUCAUGUACUCCAUUUGGAAGCUCAGUAUUGCUGCAGAAACCUACCUCCUUAACGUUCGGUGUUCCAUCGUAUUUCGAAUAUACUCCGCCACUUCUCCUUCAACCGCGACGGAUGACCGCUCUUGCUUCAUUCAAUGUUGAACGAAAGUUGGAAGGAAAAUGGAAACGAAAUCAAAGAGAGCUCAAUAGAUUGCACAGAGUUGACGGUGAAGAGCGGAGUUGGCGCGUUGCGUUUUGAGAUAAGGCUCGAAGAUCCCGCUCGCGUGUGUUAAGGUGAAGAUGAAGAUUGGAGGAUCUUCGAUUCGUGCCUACUUCCAAGCUCCAAUGCGAUUUCAGUGGAGAUUUAAGGCUUUUGACAAUGAAUAUUUGAGGUUUGUUGAAGAACAAUGAAGUUGUUGAAGAAGAAGAAUCAUGAAGCUCUUGGCAGUAAGGGAGAUUGAAGCAUUAAAGACUCGAAUUCUGUUGAAGAGUGAAAGGUGAAGUUGAAGAUGAAGGUAGAACAGAGUCCAGAAAAAAUCCCUUUUCUUCAGCAAGGUAUACUUUUUAUAUAGUGUUUCUCAUUCUGUUAGAUUUCCAUUCUGUUAGAGCUUGUGUGAGAAGUUUGUUAUUUUUUUCUUGAAAAUGGUUAGAGUUAGUUUUUAUUCUGUUUUGGAUUUAUGAAAUUGUUAUAACCGAAUUCAGUUAGGAUUGGUUAGUUAUUAAAUCUGUUAGUUACAAGUGAGGUUGUGGAGUUAAAAUCGGUUGGUGAUUCUGUCAGCUUGUGAUUAACAAUGUUAACUUUGUUGUGUGUUAUGCUGCCCAUCCUGUUUCUGUUAUGCUCAGUUAGUUAACUAAACUUGGUUAGUAAAAACGGUUACUUGUUAGUUUAAAAUUGGUUUUGUGAUUGUUAAUUGUUUCAAGUGUGAAGGAAAUGACAUUUAGUGAAUUAGUUACAGUUGUGAGAAAUGAAGUUAAUUGGAGAAUUUGGUUAGUUAAAAUGAUAAUGUUAGUUAUAGUUAAAAUGAAGUUGAAAUGUAAAAUUAAAUAUGAGGCUAGCUAAUGAGUCCAUGUGUUAGUGUGAACUGUUUGAAAAAUGAAACUAAUUGUUGUGCAAAUGAAACUUCGUCCUGUUAUUGCGGUUAGCAUUAUUGACACAUGGCCUUGUAAGACCCUAAUUUUGACCCUAAGAUCCCUCAUGCAAUUUCAUCAUAAGCAUUAGCAUUGAGAUCAUACCUUGGCUUCCUCCUUUCCCCUCUUUCAUUGGGUUUGGGAGAAAUCACUAAGCACUUUGUGAUUGUAUCAUACUUGUAUAUUAUCAUUUUACUAACCAAAAUACAAAAAUAUGUCUUUGUAUUUGCCUAACUCUUUUGUAGGUAGGACAUGAUCUCCAUUGAUUCAUCAAGUUCAUAUUUAGGGUUUGAGACCCUCAUGACAAAGAUCACAACCAUGAAUUGAUCCAAGAAUGUUUAUGAGCAUCAUAUAUGAGUUCCAUUGAUUCUUACAUGUUAGUUUGAUCAAGUUUUCUUCAAGAGUUUGAGGGUGAUUUGCCUUGGAAACCCUAGUUUGACUGGGUAUCUUGAGUAACUUCUCCAAAAAUCUAUCUCACCAAUUGAUCAAAUUUAUCAAGGCACACUUCAAAAUUCAUCAUCUUAUGCAUAUAUGAUCUACCAUGAUCCAAGAAAGUCAAAAGAAUUGAAGGUUAGCAAGUUGGUUGAUGGUGGUUGGCCAGAUGAAUUCAUCUGAUCAAAACUGGGUCUCCAAAGACCCUAUCUCCUAACUUUUUCACCAUAUGAAAAUUAUUCCAAGAGAAAAGUUACUCGAAAUGACAUUCCAAAGAACUUUCAUGUUGAAACCUAUAGCUAGUUUUGCUUGAAAGAUCAUUUUCUAUGUUGAAACAUUAUAGGUCAUUUUGUCUAAACCCUAAUUUGAAAGUCAACUUCCCAAGACCAUAACUUGCUCAAUUUGUAUGAGAUGAAAUAUUUCCAAGUUUCACAAUCAAAUUAAAGGUGUCUAAUUCAACUUUGAUGUUUAGAGUGAGAGAUGAUUCAACUUUUA
This is a long non-coding RNA of Lathyrus oleraceus (garden pea), 2066 nucleotides long. RefSeq lists it as uncharacterized. The transcript has 3 exons. Lineage: Eukaryota; Viridiplantae; Streptophyta; Magnoliopsida; Fabales; Fabaceae. The record is from RefSeq and is a predicted model, not a curated record.